RNAcentral lists this non-coding RNA (21 nucleotides) under Caenorhabditis elegans. Lineage: Eukaryota; Metazoa; Nematoda; Chromadorea; Rhabditida; Rhabditidae. The record is from RNAcentral.
CAAGAUUUUUCUGCUGAUUGU